Molecule: ribosomal RNA, 223 nt
Filed under: uncultured bacterium
Lineage: Bacteria
Description: partial 16S ribosomal RNA
Rfam family: Bacterial small subunit ribosomal RNA
Source: RNAcentral
UACAGAGGGUGCGAGCGUUAAUCGGAAUUACUGGCGUAAAGCGCACGUAGGUGGCGACGUAAGUCGGGUGUGAAAGCCCCGGGCUCAACCUGGGAAUUGCAUUCGAGACUGCAUUGCUGGAGUACGGAAGAGGAAGGCGGAAUUCCCGGUGUAGCGGUGAAAUGCGUAGAUAUCGGGAGGAACAUCAGUGGCGAAGGCGGCCUUCUGGUCCAGUACUGACACU